AGUGAACGCUGGCGGUAGGCCUAACACAUGCAAGUCGAACGGCAGCACAGUAAGAGCUUGCUCUUACUGGUGGCGAGUGGCGGACGGGUGAGGAAUACAUCGGAAUCUACUUUUUCGUGGGGGAUAACGUAGGGAAACUUACGCUAAUACCGCAUACGACCUACGGGUGAAAGCAGAGGAUCUUCGGACCUUUCGCGAUUGAAUGAGCCGAUGUCGGAUUAGCUAGUUGGCGGGGUAAAGGCCCACCAAGGCGACGAUCCGUAGCUGGUCUGAGAGGAUGAUCAGCCACACUGGAACUGAGACACGGUCCAGACUCCUACGGGAGGCAGCAGUGGGGAAUAUUGGACAAUGGGCGCAAGCCUGAUCCAGCCACACCGCGUGGGUGAAGAAGGCCUUCGGGUUGUAAAGCCCUUUUGUUGGGAAAGAAAAGCAGCAGGUUAAUACCCCGCUGUUCUGACGGUACCCAAAGAAUAAGCACCGGCUAACUUCGUG
Molecule: ribosomal RNA, 492 nt
Filed under: uncultured bacterium
Lineage: Bacteria
Description: partial 16S ribosomal RNA
Rfam family: Bacterial small subunit ribosomal RNA
Source: RNAcentral